GCGCAAUGGGCGAAAGCCUGACGCAGCAACGCCGCGUGGGGGAUGACGGCCUUCGGGUUGUAAACCUCUUUCGACAGGGACGAAGCUUUCGGGUGACGGUACCUGUAGAAGAAGCACCGGCUAACUACGUGCCAGCAGCCGCGGUAAUACGUAGGGUGCGAGCGUUGUCCGGAUUUAUUGGGCGUAAAGAGCUCGUAGGCGGUUUGUCGCGUCGGCCGUGAAAACCUGCAGCUUAACUGUGGGCGUGCGGUCGAUACGGGCAGACUUGAGUUCGGCAGGGGAGACUGGAAUUCCUGGUGUAGCGGUGAAAUGCGCAGAUAUCAGGAGGAACACCGGUGGCGAAGGCGGGUCUCUGGGCCGAUACUGACGCUGAGGAGCGAAAGCAUGGGGAGCGAACAGGAUUAGAUACCCUGGUAGUCCAUGCCGUAAACGUUGGGCGCUAGGUGUGGGGAUGGGUUCCACCGUUUCCGUGCCGUAGCUAACGCAUUAAGCGCCCCGCCUGGGGAGUACGGCCGCAAGGCU
Molecule: ribosomal RNA, 522 nt
Filed under: uncultured bacterium
Lineage: Bacteria
Description: bacterial SSU rRNA
Rfam family: Bacterial small subunit ribosomal RNA
Source: RNAcentral